GUUCUUAUGGUGUAUGAGCACAUAAGAUUUUCAAUCUUUUAGAGCAUUUUAGUUAUUAUAAAUGUUAAGAAUA
Molecule: transfer RNA, 73 nt
Filed under: Bathyteuthis abyssicola (deepsea squid)
Lineage: Eukaryota; Metazoa; Mollusca; Cephalopoda; Oegopsida; Bathyteuthidae
Description: tRNA-Glu
Source: RNAcentral